GACAGAGGGUGCAAACGUUGCUCGGAAUCACUGGGCGUAAAGGGCGUGUAGGCGGGAAGGAAAGUCAGAUGUGAAAUCCCUGGGCUCAACCCAGGAACUGCAUUUGAAACUCCCUUUCUUGAGUGUCGGAGAGGAAAGUGGAAUUCCUGGUGUAGAGGUGAAAUUCGUAGAUAUCAGGAGGAACACCGGUGGCGAAAGCGGCUUUCUGGACGACAACUGACGCUGAGACGCGAAAGCGUGGGGAGCAAACAGG
Molecule: ribosomal RNA, 253 nt
Filed under: uncultured bacterium
Lineage: Bacteria
Description: partial 16S ribosomal RNA
Rfam family: Bacterial small subunit ribosomal RNA
Source: RNAcentral